RNAcentral lists this ribosomal RNA (587 nucleotides) under uncultured haloarchaeon. RNAcentral's name for it is "bacterial SSU rRNA". It matches the Rfam family "Archaeal small subunit ribosomal RNA", at positions 335 to 921 of the family's 1478-position model. Lineage: Archaea; Methanobacteriati; Methanobacteriota; Halobacteria; Halobacteriales; Halobacteriaceae. The record is from RNAcentral.
GCAGGCGCGAAACCUUUACACUGCACGACAGUGCGAUAGGGGGAUCCCAAGUGCACAGGCAUAGCGCCUGUGCUUUUCGGUACCCUAAGGCGGUACCAGAAUAAGGGCUGGGCAAGACCGGUGCCAGCCGCCGCGGUAAUACCGGCAGCCCAAGUGAUGGCCGAUCUUAUUGGGCCUAAAGCGUCCGUAGCUGGCCGUACAAGUCCAUCGGGAAAUCCACCUGCUCAACAGGUGGGCGCCCGGUAGAAACUGUGCGGCUUGGGACCGGAAGGCGCGACGGGUACGUCCGGGGUAGGAGUGAAAUCCCGUAAUCCUGGACGGACCGCCGAUGGCGAAAGCACGUCGCGAGAACGGAUCCGACAGUGAGGGACGAAAGCCAGGGUCUCGAACCGGAUUAGAUACCCGGGUAGUCCUGCCCGUAAACAAUGUCUGCUAGGUGUGGCUCCCACUACGAGUGGGUGCUGUGCCGUAGGGAAGCCGCUAAGCAGACCGCCUGGGAAGUACGUCCGCAAGGAUGAAACUUAAAGGAAUUGGCGGGGGAGCACUACAACCGGAGGAGCCUGCGGUUUAAUUGGAGUCAACGCCGG